CCCCAGACUCCUACGGGAGGCAGCAGUGGGGAAUAUUGCACAAUGGGGGAAACCCUGAUGCAGCGACGCCGCGUGAGCGAUGAAGUAUUUCGGUAUGUAAAGCUCUAUCAGCAGGGAAGAAGAUGACGGUACCUGACUAAGAAGCCCCGGCUAACUACGUGCCAGCAGCCGCGGUAAUACGUAGGGGGCAAGCGUUAUCCGGAUUUACUGGGUGUAAAGGGAGCGUAGACGGCAGCGCAAGUCUGGAGUGAACUGCCGGGGCCCAACCCCGGAACUGCUUUGGAAACUGUGCAGCUGGAGUGCAGGAGAGGUAAGCGGAAUUCCUAGUGUAGCGGUGAAAUGCGUAGAUAUUAGGAGGAACACCAGUGGCGAAGGCGGCUUACUGGACUGUAACUGACGUUGAGGCUCGAAAGCGUGGGGAGCAAACAGGAUUAGAUACGCUCGUAAG
This 448-nucleotide ribosomal RNA is filed under the name uncultured bacterium. RNAcentral describes it as "partial 16S ribosomal RNA". It matches the Rfam family "Bacterial small subunit ribosomal RNA", at positions 329 to 793 of the family's 1533-position model. The record is from RNAcentral.